RNAcentral lists this ribosomal RNA (301 nucleotides) under uncultured bacterium. RNAcentral's name for it is "partial 16S ribosomal RNA". It matches the Rfam family "Bacterial small subunit ribosomal RNA", at positions 509 to 807 of the family's 1533-position model. The record is from RNAcentral.
CAGUAGCCACGGUAACACGAAGGGGGCUAGCGUUGCUCGGAAUUACUGGGCGUAAAGGGCGCGUAGGCGGACAGUUCAGUCGGGGGUGAAAGCCCGGGGCUCAACCCCGGAACUGCCUUCGAUACUGGCUGUCUUGAGUACGGGAGAGGUGUGUGGAACUCCGAGUGUAGAGGUGAAAUUCGUAGAUAUUCGGAAGAACACCAGUGGCGAAGGCGACACACUGGCCCGUUACUGACGCUGAGGCGCGAAAGCGUGGGGAGCAAACAGGAUUAGAUACCCCCGUAGUCCCUGUCUCUUAUAC